This 495-nucleotide ribosomal RNA is filed under the name uncultured bacterium. RNAcentral describes it as "partial 16S ribosomal RNA". It matches the Rfam family "Bacterial small subunit ribosomal RNA", at positions 28 to 507 of the family's 1533-position model. The record is from RNAcentral.
GACGAACGCUGGCGGCGUGCCUAAUACAUGCAAGUAGAACGCUGAAGGAGGAGCUUGCUUCUCUGGAUGAGUUGCGAACGGGUGAGUAACGCGUAGGUAACCUGCCUGGUAGCGGGGGAUAACUAUUGGAAACGAUAGCUAAUACCGCAUAAUAGCAGUUGUUGCAUGACAACUGUUUGAAAGGUGCAAAUGCAUCACUACCAGAUGGACCUGCGUUGUAUUAGCUAGUUGGUGGGGUAAAGGCUCACCAAGGCGACGAUACAUAGCCGACCUGAGAGGGUGAUCGGCCACACUGGGACUGAGACACGGCCCAGACUCCUACGGGAGGCAGCAGUAGGGAAUCUUCGGCAAUGGACGGAAGUCUGACCGAGCAACGCCGCGUGAGUGAAGAAGGUUUUCGGAUCGUAAAGCUCGGUUGUAAGAGAAGAACGAGUGUGAGAGUGGAAAGUUCACACUGUGACGGUAUCUUACCAGAAAGGGACGGCUAACUACGUG